AAUUGUGGGAUUGCAUGUUUUCAUAUUCCGUUUGGAGUAAAUGCGUCGUCGACUUCGCGGCAAGUAGUAAACGUGUUUAGAUGGAAAAAAGGGAGAAAAAAUUUACAAAAAUGUUAUUUGUUUAGUUAAUAUGAUUGACAUAUCAACGCUAUUUAAUCGUACGGAUAUGUUACUAAGAUUCUUUUAAUUAAUGCAUUGAAAAGAUUAGGCUAUUAAUUAGUGAUCAAACUAUGAGGAGAAUUACAGAAAUUUACAGUAUAAUUGCUGAACAGUAACUGAGUACAUUCUAUAAAGCUUCUAUUUCUAAUUAACAAUAAUAGAAAUGACAAAUACUCAUCAUUGGCAUGUUGAUGAUAUUGAUGAUGCCUUGGCUGCUGAUUUUGAUGGAAGCCUUUCUGGUUUGGGAAUGGAGCUGGGUACUGCAUCGUUUAAU
This is a long non-coding RNA of Centruroides sculpturatus (bark scorpion), 433 nucleotides long. RefSeq lists it as uncharacterized. Lineage: Eukaryota; Metazoa; Arthropoda; Arachnida; Scorpiones; Buthidae. The record is from RefSeq and is a predicted model, not a curated record. The transcript is spliced from 3 exons.